GACGAACGCUGGCGGCGUGCUUAACACAUGCAAGUCGAACGGAAAGGCCCUGCUUGCAGGGUACUCGAGUGGCGAACGGGUGAGUAACACGUGGGUGAUCUGCCCUGCACUUCGGGAUAAGCCUGGGAAACUGGGUCUAAUACCGGAUAGGAGCCAUUUUUAGUGUGAUGGUUGGAAAGUUUUUUCGGUGUAGGAUGAGCUCGCGGCCUAUCAGCUUGUUGGUGGGGUAAUGGCCUACCAAGGCGGCGACGGGUAGCCGGCCUGAGAGGGUGGACGGCCACAUUGGGACUGAGAUACGGCCCAGACUCCUACGGGAGGCAGCAGUGGGGAAUAUUGCACAAUGUGCGCAAGCCUGAUGCAGCGACGCCGCGUGGGGGAUGACGGCCUUCGGGUUGUAAACUCCUUUCGCUAGGGACGAAGCUUUUUGUGACGGUACCUAGAUAAGAAGCACCGGCUAACUACGUG
This 465-nucleotide ribosomal RNA is filed under the name uncultured bacterium. Its description in RNAcentral is "partial 16S ribosomal RNA". It matches the Rfam family "Bacterial small subunit ribosomal RNA", at positions 28 to 507 of the family's 1533-position model. The record is from RNAcentral.